UUCAAUCGGACUUCUGGUUCUGCACUCGAUGGAGCCGUCGAUGGUGCAACGCUACGUCCGUUGGUUAAUGACUGACAGCAUCUCAAGUCAGAAACCUUGCUAG
RNAcentral lists this ribosomal RNA (103 nucleotides) under Gymnochlora stellata. Its description in RNAcentral is "partial 28S ribosomal RNA". Lineage: Eukaryota; Cercozoa; Chlorarachniophyceae. The record is from RNAcentral.